Molecule: ribosomal RNA, 305 nt
Filed under: uncultured bacterium
Lineage: Bacteria
Description: bacterial SSU rRNA
Rfam family: Bacterial small subunit ribosomal RNA
Source: RNAcentral
GAUUGCCUACGGGAGGCAGCAGUGAGGAAUAUUGGUCAAUGGGCUUACGCCUGAACCAGCCAAGUCGCGUGAGGGAAGACUGCCCUAUGGGUUGUAAACCUCUUUUGUCAGGGAGCAAUUGGCGCUACGUGAAGCGUUAUCGAGAGUACCUGAAGAAAAAGCAUCGGAUAACUCCGUGCCAGCAGCCGCGGUAAUACGGAGGAUGCGAGCGUUAUCCGGAUUUAUUGGGUUUAAAGGGUGCGUAGGCGGAAUGCCAAGUCAGCGGUAAAAUCGCGGGGAUCAACCUCGCUACGCCGUUGAAACGG